Callithrix jacchus (white-tufted-ear marmoset) is the source of this 1605-nucleotide non-coding RNA. The record is from RefSeq and is a predicted model, not a curated record. Lineage: Eukaryota; Metazoa; Chordata; Mammalia; Primates; Cebidae.
AGGAUUUCUACUAUGUCCAUAUCGAGCCCCGGCUUUUCGUACACGCUGUCACCGAGGCGGGAAGGACUACUGGGCUCACAUGACCAGAGGCCAAGGGUCGACCCGAAGCCCCGGAACCAGCGGCAUUCCCAGGCAGCAGAAGACAUUCUGAAAUCAAGAUUCCAGAGGCUACAGCUCUCUCUCUACAUACUGUACCUGAAUCUGCUCCAAGACUUCUCGCCGCAUUUCCACAGCCAUAUGGUAUAUGUGAUGAUCAGAGUCAUUGUACAUUACAGCAUUUUGGAACAUCAGCAUCAGAUCUCGCUGGAAUUGGGCCACGAUGAAAAGAGGAUCAAGUGAACAUUAUGACAACAUUAAUGAGACAGAGAAAGUAGAUGUAUAAGAGAAGGCACAGCAGUUUAGAAAGAAGACUGAACCGGAGAUGGAGUUUUGCUCUUGCUGCCCAGGUUGGAGUGCAAUGACAUGCCAACUGCAAACUUCGCCUCCCGGGUUCAAGUGAUUCUCCUGCCUCAGCCUCCCAAGUGGCUGGGAUUACAGGCAACUGCUAAUUUUUGUAUUUUUAGUAGAGAUGGGGUUUUACCACGUUGUCCAGGCUGGUAUUGAACUCCUGACCUCAGGUGAUCCACUUACCUUGGCCUCCCAAAAUGCUGGGAUUACAGGCAUAAGCCCCUGUGCCUAGCCUAUGUUCUAAUUUUUCAUCUCAAAUGUCAACUCUGAUCAAUUGAGACUGGCUGUCUAAAAAAAAAAAAAAGACAGUGGCUGUCUAGAAUAAAGUGUUGAAAAUUUUGUCUACCACAGACACUGUAGAGAGAAGUGGUAACGUUUGAACUGGAUGCUUGCUGAUCUUGACCUAAGUUCUCCUAAAUGUGUUCAGUAACAGCAUAUAUGUAACUCUCUGUCCAAUUCUGUUUAUUUCCGGUCCUCAGUCCUUAACAAGGUAAUGACUUUAAAAUACUACCUUAAAGUCACAACACUUUAAGCUUCAAGGAAAAUUUGGGCAAGUAUGACUUCCCACAACUCCAAAAGCAUGAAUUACAAGGAUACUCAUAAAGCAGUCCUUAUGACCCAAGCCCCUAGUGACUGAGGUAUUAGAAAUUCAGUCAAAAAGCACGUAUUUAUUUUUUAUUUUUGAGACAGAGUCUCACUCUGUUGCCCAGGCUGGAGUGCAGUAGUGUGAUGUUGGCUCACUGCAACCUCUGCUCCGGGAUUCAACUGUUUCUCCCACCUUAGCCUCCUGCCUAGUUGGGAUUACAGGUGCAUGCCACCAUGCCCAGAUAAUUUUUGUAUUUUUAGUAGAAACGGGGUUUUACCAUGUUGGCCAGGGUGGUCUCAAACUCCUGACCUCAAGUGAUCCACCGGCCUUGGGUUCCCAAAGUGCUGGGAUUACAGGUGUCAACCACUGCACCCAGCCCAAAAUGCAUGUAUUUGGUGCAUAUUCUCUAUCGGCACAAAGUGCUGGGGACUCAGCAAUGAACUUAGUCCCUGCCACUGUGAAGUUUAUAUUUUAGUAAACAAUAUUAAAAGUGGUAGAAGCAUGUAAGGAUAAGCAUUCUCUUAGAAAGUUGAGGCCUCCAGCUUUGGAAAUAACAGCUCACAGUUACCUCA